GGGGAUUUAGCUCAGCGGCAUAAGCGCCUGCCUUGCAAGCAGGAGUCGUGAGUUCGAUCCCCG
RNAcentral lists this transfer RNA (63 nucleotides) under Cavia porcellus (domestic guinea pig). It matches the Rfam family "tRNA", at positions 1 to 62 of the family's 71-position model. From Rfam's summary of the family: Transfer RNA (tRNA) molecules are approximately 80 nucleotides in length. The record is from Rfam by way of RNAcentral. Lineage: Eukaryota; Metazoa; Chordata; Mammalia; Rodentia; Caviidae.